GGUAGCGUGGCCGAGUGGUCUAAGGCGCUGGUUUUAGGCACCAGUAUUUCGAGGCGUGGGUUCGAAUCCCACCGCUGCCA
Molecule: transfer RNA, 80 nt
Filed under: Trichonephila inaurata madagascariensis
Lineage: Eukaryota; Metazoa; Arthropoda; Arachnida; Araneae; Nephilidae
Rfam family: tRNA
About the family: Transfer RNA (tRNA) molecules are approximately 80 nucleotides in length. Their secondary structure includes four short double-helical elements and three loops (D, anti-codon, and T loops). Further hydrogen bonds mediate the characteristic L-shaped molecular structure. tRNAs have two regions of fundamental functional importance: the anti-codon, which is responsible for specific mRNA codon recognition, and the 3' end, to which the tRNAs corresponding amino acid is attached (by aminoacyl-tRNA synthetases). tRNAs cope with the degeneracy of the genetic code in two manners: having more than one tRNA (with a specific anti-codon) for a particular amino acid; and 'wobble' base-pairing, i.e. permitting non-standard base-pairing at the 3rd anti-codon position.
Source: Rfam by way of RNAcentral